This 255-nucleotide ribosomal RNA is filed under the name uncultured bacterium. Its description in RNAcentral is "partial 16S ribosomal RNA". It matches the Rfam family "Bacterial small subunit ribosomal RNA", at positions 524 to 776 of the family's 1533-position model. The record is from RNAcentral.
UACGUAGGGUGCAAGCGUUAAUCGGAAUUACUGGGCGUAAAGCGUGCGCAGGCGGUGAUGUAAGACCGAUGUGAAAUCCCCCGGGCUUAACCUGGGAACUGCAUUGGUGACUGCAUCGCUAGAGUAUGGCAGAGGGGGGUGGAAUUCCACGUGUAGCAGUGAAAUGCGUAGAGAUGUGGAGGAACACCGAUGGCGAAGGCAGCCCCCUGGGCCAAUACUGGACGCUCAUGCACGAAAGCGUGGGGAGCAAACAGG